AGAGUUUGAUCCUGGCUCAGGAUGAACGCUAGCUACAGGCUUAACACAUGCAAGUCGAGGGGCAUCGCGGGGAGGCUUCGGCCACCCUGGCGGCGACCGGCGAAUGGGUGAGUAACACGUAUCCAACCUGCCCCGUACCGGGGGAUAGCCCUCCGAAAGGAGAAUUAAUACCCCAUAUCUCGGUCCGCGACAUCUCGGUCCGAGGAAAGGUUCGCCGGUACGGGAUGGGGAUGCGCCCGAUUAGCUUGUUGGCGGGGUAACGGCCCACCAAGGCGUCGAUCGGUAGGGGUUCUGAGAGGAACGGUCCCCCACACUGGAACUGAGACACGGUCCAGACUCCUACGGGAGGCAGCAGUGAGGAAUAUUGGUCAAUGGGGCGGGAGCCUGAACCAACCAAGUAGCCGUGAAGGAUGACCGGCCCGUACGGGUUAGUAAACUUUCUUUUGUGCGGGAAGUAAAGUGCGCCACGUGUGGUCGUUUUGCACGUACCGCAAGAAAAAGCACCGGCUAAUUCCGUGCCAGCCGCAGC
Molecule: ribosomal RNA, 529 nt
Filed under: uncultured bacterium
Lineage: Bacteria
Description: bacterial SSU rRNA
Rfam family: Bacterial small subunit ribosomal RNA
Source: RNAcentral